Epinephelus moara (kelp grouper) is the source of this 490-nucleotide long non-coding RNA. RefSeq lists it as uncharacterized. The transcript is spliced from 3 exons. Lineage: Eukaryota; Metazoa; Chordata; Actinopteri; Perciformes; Serranidae. The record is from RefSeq and is a predicted model, not a curated record.
UGGGUGACCUCUGUGUGACCUCGUCUCCUCAGAGUUUUCUUCCUGGAGUUAACAGAUGACGUCUGUCUCGAGAGACUCACUCUGAGAGCUACAGAUCCAGUCAGUGGACAGAGGUUCCAUGCUGUGAGUCGCCCGGCUCCGACCUCUGAGGUCCAGAACAGACUGAAGAUCAGACCUGAGGACACCACACACACUGUGACACACACACUGAGUCAGUACAGGACACACACCGCUGCCCUGCAGUCUGUGUAUCCAGGUGCAGGUCAUAUUGAUGCUGAUCAGGAUCCUCACUCUGUGUUUGAGGCUCUGGAGAGCAGACUGACAACUGACUGACAGGAGGACUCACCUGUACACACACCUGAACACACCUGUACACACCUGGCAACAGGUUGGGGAGACAGGAAGUGAAGUCACUGCUGCACCUCUCUGAACUGUUCACACUCUUUUCUAAAUGUUCUAAAUUUGUUUUAACAUCAAUAAAAUCUUUGUC